Molecule: ribosomal RNA, 429 nt
Filed under: Pseudomonadota bacterium
Lineage: Bacteria; Pseudomonadati; Pseudomonadota
Description: Proteobacteria bacterium partial 16S ribosomal RNA
Rfam family: Bacterial small subunit ribosomal RNA
Source: RNAcentral
UGGGGAAUAUUGGACAAUGGGCGAAAGCCUGAUCCAGCCAUGCCGCGUGUGUGAAGAAGGUCUUCGGAUUGUAAAGCACUUUAAGUUGGGAGGAAGGGCAGUAAGCGAAUACCUUGCUGUUUUGACGUUACCGACAGAAUAAGCACCGGCUAACUCUGUGCCAGCAGCCGCGGUAAUACAGAGGGUGCAAGCGUUAAUCGGAAUUACUGGGCGUAAAGCGCGCGUAGGUGGUUCGUUAAGUUGAAUGUGAAAGCCCCGGGCUCAACCUGGGAACUGCAUCCAAAACUGGCGAGCUAGAGUAGGGCAGAGGGUGGUGGAAUUACCUGUGUAGCGGUGAAAUGCGUAGAUAUAGGAAGGAACACCAGUGGCGAAGGCAGCCAUCUAGCCUAACACUGACGCUGAGGUACGAAAGCAUGGGGAGCAAACAGG